This 548-nucleotide ribosomal RNA is filed under the name uncultured Synechococcus sp. RNAcentral's name for it is "bacterial SSU rRNA". It matches the Rfam family "Bacterial small subunit ribosomal RNA", at positions 967 to 1515 of the family's 1533-position model. The record is from RNAcentral. Lineage: Bacteria; Bacillati; Cyanobacteriota; Cyanophyceae; Synechococcales; Synechococcaceae.
AACCUUACCAGGGUUUGACAUCCUGCGAAUCCCUUGGAAGCGAGGGAGUGCCUUCGGGAACGCAGUGACAGGUGGUGCAUGGCUGUCGUCAGCUCGUGUCGUGAGAUGUUGGGUUAAGUCCCGCAACGAGCGCAACCCACGUCUUUAGUUGCCAGCAUUUAGUUGGGCACUCUAGAGAGACUGCCGGUGAUAAACCGGAGGAAGGUGNGGAUGACGUCAAGUCAUCAUGCCCCUUACAUCCUGGGCUACACACGUACUACAAUGCUACGGACAAAGGGCAGCAAACUCGCGAGAGCUAGCCAAUCCCAUAAACCGUGGCUCAGUUCAGAUCGUAGGCUGCAACUCGCCUACGUGAAGGAGGAAUCGCUAGUAAUCGCAGGUCAGCAUACUGCGGUGAAUACGUUCCCGGGCCUUGUACACACCGCCCGUCACACCAUGGAAGUUGGCCACGCCCGAAGUCGUUACUCCAACCCUUGUGGAGGAGGAUGCCGAAGGUGGGGCUGAUGACUGGGGUGAAGUCGUAACAAGGUAGCCGUACCGGAAGGUGU